This 485-nucleotide ribosomal RNA is filed under the name uncultured bacterium. RNAcentral describes it as "bacterial SSU rRNA". It matches the Rfam family "Bacterial small subunit ribosomal RNA", at positions 28 to 516 of the family's 1533-position model. The record is from RNAcentral.
GAUGAACGCUAGCGGAAGGCUUAAUACAUGCAAGUCGAGCGGUAGGUGGCUUCGGCCAUUGAGAGCGGCGCACGGGUGAGUAACGCGUACAUGACCUGCCUGUCAGAAGGGGAUAGCCCUGGGAAACUGGGAUUAAUACCCUAUGGUAUUGAUAUUAUGAAUGAUAUCAAUUAAAGUUGAGGCGCUGACAGAUGGAUGUGCGUCUGAUUAGCUAGUUGGUAGGGUAACGGCCUACCAAGGCGACGAUCAGUAGGGGGCGUGAGAGCGUGGUCCCCCACACGGGUACUGAGACACGGACCCGACUCCUACGGGAGCAGCAGUAAGGAAUAUUGGUCAAUGCCCGCAAGGGUGAACCAGCCAUUCCGCGUGGAGGAUGAAGGCCCUAUGGGUUGUAAACUUCUUUUAGAUGGGAAGAAAAUGCUAGAUGUAUCUGGUACUGACGGUACCAUCAGAAUAAGCACCGGCUAAACUCCGUGCCAGCAGCC